RNAcentral lists this ribosomal RNA (165 nucleotides) under Triticum aestivum (bread wheat). RNAcentral's name for it is "partial small subunit ribosomal RNA". Lineage: Eukaryota; Viridiplantae; Streptophyta; Magnoliopsida; Poales; Poaceae. The record is from RNAcentral.
AUGUUCACCCACCAUAAUACUUAUGCUAUCUUGAAAGAAGCCACUAGUGUAACCUAUGGCCCCCGGGUCUAUCUUUUAUCAUAUAAGUUUCCAAUCUACUUUUAUUUGCAAUCUUUACUUUCCUAUCUAUAUCAUAAAAAUACCAAAAAUAUUUAUCUUAUCUAA